UUCUUUGCACCGUGAGCUGCUGACGUUGUCGGCAAUCCUCCCCCAGUAGUCAUGAUCUGAAAGACUACGACACGGAUUUCCGUGUAGAUCGAACCCAAGAUCGCACCAGCUUCCGGUAGCGCGAUCAAUCAACCACAGGUUGAUGGAAGC
Pseudomonas aeruginosa is the source of this 150-nucleotide non-coding RNA. NCBI's taxonomy places the organism in Bacteria, Pseudomonadati, Pseudomonadota, Gammaproteobacteria, Pseudomonadales, Pseudomonadaceae. The record is from Rfam.